RNAcentral lists this ribosomal RNA (466 nucleotides) under uncultured bacterium. RNAcentral's name for it is "partial 16S ribosomal RNA". It matches the Rfam family "Bacterial small subunit ribosomal RNA", at positions 28 to 505 of the family's 1533-position model. The record is from RNAcentral.
GAUGAACGCUGGCGGCGUGCUUAACACAUGCAAGUCGAACGGUGAAGGCGGAGCUUGCUCUGCUGGAUCAGUGGCGAACGGGUGAGUAACACGUGAGCAAUCUGCCCCUGACUCUGGGAUAAGCGCUGGAAACGGCGUCUAAUACUGGAUACGAGCUGCGAAGGCAUCUUCAGCAGCUGGAAAGAACUUCGGUCAGGGAUGAGCUCGCGGCCUAUCAGCUUGUUGGUGAGGUAACGGCUCACCAAGGCGUCGACGGGUAGCCGGCCUGAGAGGGUGACCGGCCACACUGGGACUGAGACACGGCCCAGACUCCUACGGGAGGCAGCAGUGGGGAAUAUUGCACAAUGGGCGAAAGCCUGAUGCAGCAACGCCGCGUGAGGGACGACGGCCUUCGGGUUGUAAACCUCUUUUAGCAGGGAAGAAGCGAAAGUGACGGUACCUGCAGAAAAAGCGCCGGCUAACUACG